CCUACGGGUGGCAGCAGUCGAGAAUCAUUCUCAAUGGGGGAAACCCUGAUGGUGCGACGCCGCGUGGGGGAAUGAAGGUCUUCGGAUUGUAACCCCCUGUCAUGUGGGAGCAAAUUAAAAAGAUCGUACCACAAGAGGAAGCGACGGCUAACUCUGUGCCAGCAGCCGCGGUAAUACAGCGGUCUCAAGCGUUGUUCGGAAUCACUGGGCGUAAAGCGUGCGUAGGCUGUUUGGUAAGUAGUGUGUGAAAGGCGGGGGCUUAAACCGCGAACGGCACAUGAUACUGCGAGCCUAGAGUAAUGGAGGGGUAAGCGGAAUUCUCGGUGUAGCGGUGAAAUGCGUAGAUAUCGAGAGGAACACUCGUGGCGAAGGCGAGUUCCUGGACAUUAACUGACGCUGAGGCACGAAGGCCAGGGGAGCGAAAGGGAUUAGAUACCCUAGUAGUC
This 446-nucleotide ribosomal RNA is filed under the name uncultured bacterium. RNAcentral describes it as "partial 16S ribosomal RNA". It matches the Rfam family "Bacterial small subunit ribosomal RNA", at positions 338 to 795 of the family's 1533-position model. The record is from RNAcentral.